This 1703-nucleotide long non-coding RNA is filed under the name Triticum aestivum (bread wheat). Its description in RNAcentral is "long non-coding RNA (TAES_LNC016246)". The record is from RNAcentral. Lineage: Eukaryota; Viridiplantae; Streptophyta; Magnoliopsida; Poales; Poaceae.
UCUAUUUCUCUCGGGAAAGAAACAGAAGUUUCGAGUACCCCUCCUAAAGAUCAAAGUCGCUACACACGGUGGGAAUCUCUCGGUCUCUCUCCCGACGCGCGAGGCGGUUUCCAGGCGGGCUGCCUCCGCUGGUCUCCAUCGCCUCCGGUAAGCCAUCGGGCUCUCGGAGGUGUGCGGGACAGUGUACGACCGCGACGCGGUUGUAGAUAAUGUUGUUUUAGGAUUUUAUUCUGGCACUGGCGGGCAGGCAGGGGCGACAUCAACGCUGUGGGAUAAGGUUCCCCCUGGCUCCUUUCCCGUCUCCGCAGUGCUCCCUCCGGCCGGUGGCACUGCGGGGUUAGGGAGGUUGGCCUCUCUCUUAUCCGGCGAGGUUUGGUCGGUGAUGGGGGUGCACAAUAGUAUAGAAGUUGGGAUUUGUGGAGAGGGAUUCCCAGAUCAGGUCGCCUCGGACGGCCGACAGCUGCGCACUGUUGCGGGCAAAGUGGUUUGAGUUGCGGCUCCACUCCGUCGUAGGUUGCCGCUGGUCAAGGGAUCACUUGGUCUACCCCAGGCCGAUGCACCGGAACCCUCCCUGGUUCCGUCUUUUGGGGCGGGACUUACAUGCGGCUCACAAAGCCAUGGAUCAGCGAUGUUGCUCCUCAUGCCCGUUGUCUUGUGGAUGACGGCUAGCACCGGCGAGUGCAGAGAUCAGCGUGCCUAGGUGAAUAAGGAAGAUGAACUGGGCUGUAAGUUACUUUGUUUUCUCUGUCGGCGUUAUUCCCUUUAGUGUUAUCUCUGCCUCUCUGGUUCUCAACCUCCAACGACAUGCCCUUUUUUGUGCUGGCCAUGGAGGCUAGCAGCGGCAGGACUGCCAUGACUAGGCCGCGCAAUAUUUCUAACAGUGUUGAGCUACUCGUUCCCGACAGCUCCGGUGCCAAGCUGCCAAUAGAAGCUGAGCAGGUAUGUGUGUGAUGGAUCUUUUAAUUUUAAGUUUGCUUCCUGUUCGAUUAGGUGCAUAUUUCGCAAGAUAAUGUUGUUCUAUCAUGUCUCUGAUUUUGAUUUUGAUUUUGAUUUUUCCUGCAGAUUUCAGGAUAUAGAAGGCAGCUUCAGGAAGGGCUCGCUGACGAGGUGAGGCCAUUGCGUCUAUUCUUGUGUUAGUUUGUUUCAAAGAAAUCACACUAAUUUCUCUCAGUAUACUCUGCAGAGAAAUAAGUACUGAAGCAGGCUUCACCGAAGACUGCUGAUCUAGAAUUGUCUGUUGCUGAAAUAAGUCCAGGAGCGGUGGAGCAGGCAGAACAAUUUUCUGUUGAUUUUACUGAAUGGAUUGUCCCUGUAAUUUGACCAAACAUCAUGUCGCCGUGCCACUGAAGUUUUUGCACAGAAUUCUUGUCUUUUUGGGUGGUGCCAAGCUGUCUUUUUAUUGAACAAUGCCACAAUUGCAUAGUUGUAAGUUAUUUAGGAUUGUCUCUAUUGCAUACGACCUGGAGUUACAAGAGGUCCAGUACUAAUUUUGUGUAUGUAUGUACAUGUGCAGUCACCCAUUUUCUAUACACAUGAUUCCAAAGCAUCUUUUACUGUACAUUUUGUUUCUUUGCUCGGUACAAAAUGUAUUGCAAGUGUUGUUCAUUUUUUCCCCUUCUGUAAAUAUACUAGAGACCUUCUAAGGGCUCAGUUUUCUUCCCGUUGUCUGAAUAUACCCAUAUUUAUUUUGUGUGUGCGUAUUU